UAACACGUCCCGUCAGACCAAAGCCAAAUGCUUCUCAUCCCGUACUCCAAUCUGGCCCUGUGUUAGCUCGGACAAGCUAAUAUCAGAACAACAAGGCAUUUGCACAAAACAUUCGCUUUAUUUAUCUUAUAUAAUAUCUGGUUUACAAUACACAAAAUAUUAUACAAGUGGUGGCAUGCCAAGAAAGCGAAAGUACAUACUUAUAGUCUUAAAGCGUCUUAAGCAAAAAGAUGCAAAUCUACACCAGCCUGCCUAGCCUCCCGCAACCUCUACAAGCUCGCUACUGGUCACCUGAAACAACAACGAGUGAGGAGUGAGUAAUCUAGCAUUACUCAGCGAGUUACAAUCCCCGGCUAACAAAUUCAACCCCUCACUAUCCCACCCCAAACAAUCUAAAGCGAGAGGUUCACCUAACAACACAAUUCAAUAACAAUAAGCAAUAUCCGAAAUACGCAGCGGAAAACGAUAGCAAGAUAACUAGCAUUA
Molecule: long non-coding RNA, 486 nt
Filed under: Brassica napus (rape)
Lineage: Eukaryota; Viridiplantae; Streptophyta; Magnoliopsida; Brassicales; Brassicaceae
Description: long non-coding RNA (BNAP_LNC015018)
Source: RNAcentral